RNAcentral lists this unclassified non-coding RNA (447 nucleotides) under Hevea brasiliensis (rubber tree). Lineage: Eukaryota; Viridiplantae; Streptophyta; Magnoliopsida; Malpighiales; Euphorbiaceae. The record is from RNAcentral.
CAGGGAAGGUAUCUUUUUGCAAGGACACGCUCUAGUCCUGAGCUUACUGAGACAUAUGGUGAAGUCUCUUGUCAAGGGAGGCGUAACAGAACUCAAGAAACUGGAAAAGGUCAGAGCUCUUACAGUAGCAGGAAAAACCUGGAAUCUGAUAAUUUGGGAAGCCAUGGUAUUAGAUCUUCAACUGAUGAUCCUUCGUCCAUAAGACUUACCUCAUCCCGUCAAAGCCUUGAAGCUGCUGGUGAUUCUAACAGUGGCUCAAAUAGUUACCAUGAGGAUUCAGGCCUAGGUUCUACUGGUGAAGAAUUUGUUUCUGUCCUUGGGACACAGGGGAUGCAUCAGGAGGAGCAGGAUUUUGUGAACAUGAUGUCAUCUUCCACAGGUCUUGGUUUUAAUGGACAAGUUAAUCUUCCACUGAAUUUGGCAUCAAGUCCUAUACCUCUUUCAAUC